Molecule: ribosomal RNA, 529 nt
Filed under: Escherichia coli
Lineage: Bacteria; Pseudomonadati; Pseudomonadota; Gammaproteobacteria; Enterobacterales; Enterobacteriaceae
Description: bacterial SSU rRNA
Rfam family: Bacterial small subunit ribosomal RNA
Source: RNAcentral
UCUUUGCUGACGAGUGGCGGACGGUUGAGUAAUGUCUGGGAAACUGCCUGAUGGAGGGGGAUAACUACUGGAAACGGUAGCUAAUACCGCAUAACGUCGCAAGACCAAAGAGGGGGACCUUCGGGCCUCUUGCCAUCGGAUGUGCCCAGAUGGGAUUAGCUAGUAGGUGGGGUAACGGCUCACCUAGGCGACGAUCCCUAGCUGGUCUGAGAGGAUGACCAGCCACACUGGAACUGAGACACGGUCCAGACUCCUACGGGAGGCAGCAGUGGGGAAUAUUGCACAAUGGGCGCAAGCCUGAUGCAGCCAUGCCGCGUGUAUGAAGAAGGCCUUCGGGUUGUAAAGUACUUUCAGCGGGGAGGAAGGGAGUAAAGUUAAUACCUUUGCUCAUUGACGUUACCCGCAGAAGAAGCACCGGCUAACUCCGUGCCAGCAGCCGCGGUAAUACGGAGGGUGCAAGCGUUAAUCGGAAUUACUGGGCGUAAAGCGCACGCAGGCGGUUUGUUAAGUCAGAUGUGAAAUCCCCCGG